GAAUGCUGACAUAAGUAACGAUAAAGCGGGUGAAAAGCCCGCUCGCCGGAAGACCAAGGGUUCCUGUCCAACGUUAAUCGGGGCAGGGUGAGUCGACCCCUAAGGCGAGGCCGAAAGGCGUAGUCGAUGGGAAACGGGUUAAUAUUCCCGUACUUGGUGUUACUGCGAAGGGGGGACGGAGAAGGCUAUGUUGGCCGGGCGACGGUUGUCCCGGUUUAAGCGUGUAGGUGUGUGUUCCAGGUAAAUCCGGUUCACUUUAACACUGAGGCGUGACGACGAGGCACUACGGUGCUGAAGCAACAAAUGCCCUGCUUCCAGGAAAAGCCUCUAAGCAUCAGGUAACACGAAAUCGU
RNAcentral lists this ribosomal RNA (353 nucleotides) under Salmonella enterica subsp. enterica serovar Typhimurium. RNAcentral's name for it is "partial 23S ribosomal RNA". It matches the Rfam family "Bacterial large subunit ribosomal RNA", at positions 1292 to 1645 of the family's 2925-position model. The record is from RNAcentral. Lineage: Bacteria; Pseudomonadati; Pseudomonadota; Gammaproteobacteria; Enterobacterales; Enterobacteriaceae.